Molecule: ribosomal RNA, 197 nt
Filed under: uncultured bacterium
Lineage: Bacteria
Description: partial 16S ribosomal RNA
Rfam family: Bacterial small subunit ribosomal RNA
Source: RNAcentral
CUGCAACUCGACUACAUGAAGCUGGAAUCGCUAGUAAUCGCAGAUCAGAAUGCUGCGGUGAAUACGUUCCCGGGUCUUGUACACACCGCCCGUCACACCAUGGGAGUCGGAAAUGCCCGAAGCCGGUGACCAAACCAAUAAGGAAGGAGCCGUCGAAGGCAGGUCUGAUAACUGGGGUGAAGUCGUAACAAGGUAUC